GAACGAGAUCUUCGGAUCUAGUGGCGCACGGGUGAGUAACGCGUGGGAACCUGUCCUUUGGUACGGAAUAACAUCGGGAAACUGGUGCUAAUACCGUAUAUUCCCUGAGGGGGAAAGAUUUAUCGCCAAAGGAGGGGCCCGCGUAGGAUUAGCUAGUUGGUGAGGUAACGGCUCACCAAGGCGACGAUCCUUAGCUGGUCUGAGAGGAUGAUCAGCCACACUGGGACUGAGACACGGCCCAGACUCCUACGGGAGGCAGCAGUGGGGAAUAUUGGACAAUGGGGGAAACCCUGAUCCAGCCAUGCCGCGUGUGUGAUGAAGGCCUUCGGGUUGUAAAGCACUUUCACACGUGACGAUGAUGACGGUAACGUGAGAAGAAGCCCCGGCUAACUUCGUGCCAGCAGCCGCGGUAAUACGAAGGGGGCAAGCGUUGUUCGGAAUUACUGGGCGUAAAGGGCGCGUAGGCGGUGCACUAAGUCAGGCGUGAAAGCCCUGGGCUCAACCCGGGAAUUGCGUUUGAUACUGGUGCGCUUGAAUCCAGGAGAGGUUGGUGGAAUUCCCAGUGUAGAGGUGAAAUUCGUAGAGAUUGGGAAGAACACCGGUGGCGAAGGCGGCCAACUGGACUGGUAUUGACGCUGAGGCGCGAAAGCGUGGGGA
This 657-nucleotide ribosomal RNA is filed under the name uncultured forest soil bacterium. RNAcentral describes it as "bacterial SSU rRNA". It matches the Rfam family "Bacterial small subunit ribosomal RNA", at positions 64 to 767 of the family's 1533-position model. The record is from RNAcentral.